Molecule: non-coding RNA, 153 nt
Filed under: Nocardia salmonicida
Lineage: Bacteria; Bacillati; Actinomycetota; Actinomycetes; Mycobacteriales; Nocardiaceae
Source: RNAcentral
GACCAGACGCAGGGCGACUGUCACAGUUCGAGUGAACAUACGCGAGGGUGCGCGGUAAUCCGGUGUGAAUCCGGAGCGGUCGCGCCACUGUCAUCCACGUACCGGGUCCCCGGUGCCGGAGAGCCAGACACCGGCACCCGCGCACCACACUCG